Pelobates cultripes (western spadefoot toad) is the source of this 1234-nucleotide non-coding RNA. The record is from the annotation of a GenBank genome assembly. NCBI's taxonomy places the organism in Eukaryota, Metazoa, Chordata, Amphibia, Anura, Pelobatidae.
GGGAGAUUUCACAUAAGUACAAUUUCAGGGUUAUUUUAUAAAGACCAAAUGUGGUUAUUAUGGACAAAGUUUGGUUAAAAUAACUGUUACGGGGGUGGGGCCUGACCUGCAAAUGGAGUAGUCGCAUAGGAGCUCCCAAAGCCAUUGCUGAUUUCAUGGAAAUUUCCAGGGAUCCGAUGCUUACCUUGAUGCCGGAAUACGCUGCCCAGGUUGAGGGCACUCUGGCGAAUCGACUGACACCGGUAUAACGGAGGUAGCCCACUGCGGCCUACGGUGGAUGGGGGGAGGUGGCCACUCUCCUCGCCUCUACGCCGGGGGCGCUGAGCCACGAUUGCCCGCUCCCCCCCCCUCCUUAGGACCGGUGGGGAUGAUCCCGGUCCAACCCUGCCAGACAAAAGAGCCAAGGCUGACACAGAUGGCGGAGCCCCACAAGCAACCCCAAGCUCCACAGGCCCACAUAAUGGCGGACGCAAUGUGCGGCCAUGAUGGCUGCGGAGGGGAGACUGCCACGAUGACAAAACUGACCGCAAUCCUCGACGCCUUUUGGGUGAAACUAUAAGCCAGAGAGCGGCAGGCAAAAGCACGAAGGAACCUACCCAGAGAAAGUCCCACAAGUAUCCGCCACAGCCGAGCUAAACCCCGCUCAACAGUCAACAAACCAAAAUGGCGCCGAAGAUGGAGACAUCUCCAGCCAGCCCAUAAGCGCUUAUACAGAGCGGCGAUACCUCCCCAAGAGGACCUACAGAAUCCAGGUCACUCCCGCACGACAUCAAGCACUGCUCAGCGACCACUGAGUGGCAGUCCCUCACCGUGAAUCCAGAGCACGACACAGCCAAGGGGAACUAUAGAGGCCCAGACAAGCACAUCACAUACCUGCACAGUGAUCUCGGGUACCCACAGUAAUGAACAAACGUGCCCACCACGGGAACCACCUCAGCUGGACUUUCCUCUGCUAGAACCCCAUGCCUCUCCUACACACUUCCCCCUGCUGGGUAUUGGAGGAGAGCACGGGGACACUGGCACCUCUGCCGUAAUAAACCCUGGCUAGUCCAUUCUGCGACUCUUUAAGCUGAGAUAGCUGUUCAACCCUGAUCUUUACUGCUUGGUACUACUCAAACGUCUAUGCUCACUGCAUAUAUUACUGAUACCUGCAUGAUAAUCUUAUGUCUUCUAAUAGCUGUGUUUUUAGAUAGCCUGUUACUGGCCAAUGUCAUACCAAAUAGCCUAUGUGUCU